CGCUAGUCCAAGUACAGUGCUAUUUACCGUUAACUAAUUCAUCACAACCAGUUACAGAUUCCUUUGUUUCUUCUUCACUGCCACUGCUGCACUUGACUAGCCUAAA
This is an unclassified non-coding RNA of Otolemur garnettii (small-eared galago), 106 nucleotides long. It matches the Rfam family "Y RNA". Rfam says of the family: Y RNAs are components of the Ro ribonucleoprotein particle (Ro RNP), in association with Ro60 and La proteins. The Y RNAs and Ro60 and La proteins are well conserved, but the function of the Ro RNP is not known. The record is from Ensembl. NCBI's taxonomy places the organism in Eukaryota, Metazoa, Chordata, Mammalia, Primates, Galagidae.